This 406-nucleotide ribosomal RNA is filed under the name uncultured bacterium. Its description in RNAcentral is "partial 16S ribosomal RNA". It matches the Rfam family "Bacterial small subunit ribosomal RNA", at positions 30 to 526 of the family's 1533-position model. The record is from RNAcentral.
AUUGAACGCUGGCGGCAGGCCUAACACAUGCAAGUCGAACGAGUGGCGGACGGGUGAGUAAUGUCUGGGAAACUGCCUGAUGGAGGGGGAUAACUACUGGAAACGGUAGCUAAUACCGCAUACCAUCGGAUGUGCCCAGAUGGGAUUAGCUAGUAGGUGGGGUAACGGCUCACCUAGGCGACGCUCCCUAGCUGGUCUGAGAGGAUGACCAGCCACACUGGAACUGAGACACGGUCCAGACUACUACGGGAGGCAGCAGGGGGGAAUAUUGAACAAUGGGCGCAAGCUUGAUGCAGCCAUGCCGCGUGUGUGAAGAAGGCCUUCGGGUUGUAAAGUACUUUAAGCGAGGAGGCGUUACUCGCAGAAGAAGAACCGGCUAACUCCGUGCCAGCAGCCGCGGUAAGAC